RNAcentral lists this ribosomal RNA (109 nucleotides) under uncultured eukaryote. RNAcentral describes it as "partial small subunit ribosomal RNA". The record is from RNAcentral.
UCGCUACGAGGGACGGCGCCGUUUACUGAAAUCACUGGACUGAAGCCGCUCAGGUUCUGCUUGUACGGUUUUGGAAAUUUGAUUAAAGUUGAUGGCGUGGACCACGUAA